CAACUCCUCUAUUGCAGCUUAUGGACCAGCAGGUUAUACCUGACUUUAUGAAGCAGUACACCAAAGAUGUGAUUCCAGAUGGUCUCAAAUACAGAUUUAACCCUUAAAGAGUUCUGGAAGAAAUGUUACAACAUCCUUUCCUAUGUGGGGUAAAUUGAAAAAUCCUGAGCCAAUUUCUAAGGACACAGAUCUGCCUGGAAGAAAGCAAGGCCUAAAAUGAUAGAGGAGUCAGACUUUGAAGGCUGUGUAGAGAACCCUGAGCCUUCAGUUGAUCCUGUGGUCAAUGACAUUGUCACCAUAGCUGAGCCCAUAGGCUCGCAGGCAGACAGACAGUGGUGACUUGAGGAAGUGGUGGAGGAACAGUCAGGGAACUGUCUACAGAGGGACUUCAGCAACUUCUGGCUGAGCAACAGAGAACGGCAGCAGAGGAGCUUUCUGAAGAGGAGGGGGAGUAUCAACAAUCAGUACAGCAAUGUUCUUCUUCUGAAAUGAAGGAAAUCCUGAAAAAUGGACAAAGCUACAAACAUUUGUAGAGAAGACCCACCCAGGCAGAGAAAAAGCCAAUCGCUGCAUUCACUUGCUUAAUGACAAUGUCAUGCCAUACUACAGAGUGGUGUUAAAGACAGAAACAGACAUCCUUAAACCAAUAUUUAGUUCUGAAAAGGUUGAGGCCAAGUGAGCUAGAAGAAGGCCCUAGUGGGUUACAGACUCUCCCACGAAGAGAAAGGACACCAGAGAGCCAGCUUCCUGAUGUUCUUAUGGGAGGGAACUCUCCUUCCAAAUAGAAACCACCUUUCAUUUCAUCCUCCCUGCCUGCAAGCCAAAGAUGUCAACUUGAAUGGAAGAGAGCAUCUGUGUGGUCGCCCUAACCUGGCCUGGACCUACAGGGGGCCUGGUCCCAGGAUGAAGAAAGACGGAUGGCGUGGGGCACUGAGAGGAAAGAGGAGGCGUGGAAGGGGCUCCUGGAAGGGGGAUUUGAGGCUGAG
This 986-nucleotide long non-coding RNA is filed under the name Fukomys damarensis (Damara mole-rat). RNAcentral describes it as "lncRNA (ENSFDAG00000022540.1)". The record is from RNAcentral. Lineage: Eukaryota; Metazoa; Chordata; Mammalia; Rodentia; Bathyergidae.